AAAACUUACAUGAGUGCCUUGAACACACUGUUUGUUUGAGAUGAUGAAGGUAAAUAGGACCCAAACCUCCUCUCAUUGUCUUGAGAGGUUGCUGGAUCAGGAACUUGAGGGGCAUUAAGCUUUUUGGUUUUUUGUUUUGUUAAUUUUGUUUUUAUUAUUUUUAAAGAUUUUAUUAUUUAUUCAUGAGAGACACACAGAGAGAGAGGCAGUGACACAGGCAGAGGGAGAAGCAGGCUCCCUGCAGGGAACCCAAGUUGGACUCCAUCCCGGGCCUCCAGGAUCACAACCUGGGCUGAAGGUGGUGCUAAACCACUGAGCCUCUGGGGCUGCCAGCAUUAAGCUUUUUGAUUAAGUUAGGGACAGGUAUCAUUUGAGUCAUUACAGCAGCAGAGAGACCUGGGUAGAAUGGAAAAUCCUCAAGAUGCCCAAGGCAGAAACAGCCAAAGUUAUCUGAAGAAUACCUCUUCACAACUUAAAAGCACAAAGGAAUAACUGAAAAGUUGGAAUUUCAAGCAAAAGACAGUUAAUAAAGAAGAAACAUUUGGUUACAAGGACUUUCCCUGGAACUUCUCCCAUAACAGCAAGCUUUACUACAUUCCAUGGGAACCCAAACUACAACAUUCUUGACUCAAGGGAUGAGGAGAUACUUUUAUGGGGAAUCUGACCAGCUUAAGAAAAAAGGCCCAAAUACAGUGAUAUCAAGGGCUUCCCAGUGAAAUUGUUCAGCCAGAUCUCUCUAAGGAACAGAUGGGUACAGCCUUGGAAAUGAGUAAGAUGAGAUUAACCAGAGCAAAAAGAUGGUGAGAAUAGAUUACAGAGACUUUAAUUCCAUUAAAUUUGUCUGAGUUUGAUUGGACAUCUAGAUUGUGACAGGAAUCAUGAUACACCAUGCCUUGUGAAGAGACGAACAAGAACAGAUCUCUGACUCAAAGCACAACAGAAUAUACAUGGGCAGAGUGGCUGUACAGGUACCAGAUGACCAGAAGAGGGACUCCAGCCUCUCAUAUUUUUGCUAUCACACCAGAAUGGUACUUUAUGAGCUGACAUCUACGCAUCUAUCUCCUGACAUCUAAGAGGAUCUUAACUUGGUAAACAAUACAACUGGAUUCAUUAAAAGUUUCUGAUUCAUCGCAACUCCAUGAAAACUUCCUCUAUUUUUUCUGAUGAUAUUUCUUUCCUGGGGUCCUUU
Long non-coding RNA from Canis lupus familiaris (dog), 1189 nucleotides. RefSeq lists it as uncharacterized. The transcript has 5 exons. Lineage: Eukaryota; Metazoa; Chordata; Mammalia; Carnivora; Canidae. The record is from RefSeq and is a predicted model, not a curated record.